CCCCCUGUGGCUCAGUUGGUAGAGCAUGGUGUUUGCAAUGCCAGCAUGGUGUGUGCAACGCCAGGGUUGUGGGUUCGAUUCCCACGGGGGGC
This is a non-coding RNA of Salmo salar (Atlantic salmon), 92 nucleotides long. The record is from Rfam. Lineage: Eukaryota; Metazoa; Chordata; Actinopteri; Salmoniformes; Salmonidae.